RNAcentral lists this unclassified non-coding RNA (400 nucleotides) under uncultured fungus. Its description in RNAcentral is "partial contains internal transcribed spacer 2 and large subunit ribosomal RNA". Lineage: Eukaryota; Fungi. The record is from RNAcentral.
AACGCAUGUUGCACCGUCCGGCUAUCCGGAAGGUAUACCUGUUUGAGCGUCUUAAUGUUUUUCUCCUCAGGUCCCCUUGAAGACUGUGCCCUUGGGCACCGUCCUCAUGCCUUGAGGGAGUUGGGUGGUUCAGGAAGCCGCCGUCCACCGUAGCAGCAGCCUUGGCUGUCGCUGCCCGACGGCCCUGUCCCCUUAAACGAAAUGAAACCGGUCGCGCAUUGCACAGACGCACGCUGCACGGAUUGGUGAGGUAAAUGUUCCACACGCUACCGUCUACGUCGUCCAGCUUUGCCAGGUUUCGUGCCCUGCUCGCAACGUAAGGUGCACACCAAGGCGCGCGGACACCGCGUCGCCCUACACUCAAGACCUCAAAUCAGGUAAGACUACCCGCUGAACUUAA